This 542-nucleotide long non-coding RNA is filed under the name Olea europaea (common olive). RNAcentral's name for it is "long non-coding RNA (OEUR_LNC002092)". Lineage: Eukaryota; Viridiplantae; Streptophyta; Magnoliopsida; Lamiales; Oleaceae. The record is from RNAcentral.
UCUAAUCAACUGGAACUAGUAUCCCUUUUUAAUCCUUUACUAAUAACUAAUUCAUCAAAAUAUUCUUCAUCCAAAGCAUAAAAAUAAUUAUCCCAUCUUCCAUCUAGUGAAAACUUAAAAUCAUACUUGCACCAAUUUACUAUACAUCUUGUUCUAUAAAAUCUUGCUUUCAUAUUAGUGUUUCAUCAUCACAAUCAUUUCCACUAGUAAUACUUAUUCAAGAAUCCAAAUAAAAAUUUUGGUGUUUGCCUAAAAAUUACUAUUGCUAACCUUUAUUCAAAUGGAAAUUUAUCAAUCAAACAACUUGAGCAAGAAGACAUUAUACCCCUUUCACUGGAUCUGAAAAUUAAACCCACAAAUUAAACCUAGCAAUUUUAACAUAAAAUUUUUCUCUACCUCUUGAAGAAAAUAAAGAGAAGAGAGAAUGAAAAUCAAGCUCGAACUACCUUUCUUCCGUUCUUCUUCUCCUCCGCUUAUUUCUUUUCUUUAUUUUGUCUUUUCUUUCCCUUCCUUUUUUCUUCCUCCCCAUUUUCUCUUCUGCU